CGCGCGAUACAGGGUGACAGCCCCGUACACAAAAGCGUAUGUGCUGUGAGCUCGAUGAGUAGGGCGGGACACGUGGUAUCCUGUCUGAAUAUGGGGGGACCAUCCUCCAAGGCUAAAUACUCCUGACUGACCGAUAGUGAACCAGUACCGUGAGGGAAAGGCGAAAAGAACCCCGGCGAGGGGAGUGAAAAAGAACCUGAAACCGUGUACGUACAAGCAGUGGGAGCCCCACCACUAAGCCAGUGGUGAACUCCACAUACGCAUCCUUUGCUGAGGAUACGGUUAACGGAGCGAAAGCGACGUUCAACCGCAAAAGAAGCAGAGGGGGCUUAGUGGUGGGGUGACUGCGUACCUUUUGUAUAAUGGGUCAGCGACUUAUAUUCUGUAGCAAGGUUAACCGAAUAGGGGAGCCGGAGGGAAACCGAGUCUUAACCGGGCGUUAAGUUGCAGGGUAUAGACCCGAAACCCGGUGAUCUAGCCAUGGGCAGGUUGAAGGUUGGGUAACACUAACUGGAGGACCGAACCGACUAAUGUUGAAAAAUUAGCGGAUGACCUGUGGCUGGGGGUGAAAGGCCAAUCAAACCGGGAGAUAGCUGGUUCUCCCCGAAAGCUAUUUAGGUAGCGCCUCGUGAAUUCAUCUCCGGGGGUAGAGCACUGUUUCGGCUAGGGGGCCAUCCCGGCUUACCAACCCGAUGCAAACUGCGAAUACCGGAGAAUGUUAUCACGGGAGACACACGGCGGGUGCUAACGUCCGUCGUGAAGAGGGAAACAACCCAGACCGCCAGCUAAGGUCCCAAAGUCAUGGUUAAGUGGGAAACGAUGUGGGAAGGCCCAGACAGCCAGGAUGUUGGCUUAGAAGCAGCCAUCAUUUAAAGAAAGCGUAAUAGCUCACUGGUCGAGUCGGCCUGCGCGGAAGAUGUAACGGGGCUAAACCAUGCACCGAAGCUGCGGCAGCGACGCUUAUGCGU
This 968-nucleotide ribosomal RNA is filed under the name Salmonella enterica subsp. enterica serovar Dublin. RNAcentral's name for it is "partial 23S ribosomal RNA". It matches the Rfam family "Bacterial large subunit ribosomal RNA", at positions 351 to 1221 of the family's 2925-position model. Lineage: Bacteria; Pseudomonadati; Pseudomonadota; Gammaproteobacteria; Enterobacterales; Enterobacteriaceae. The record is from RNAcentral.